This 382-nucleotide ribosomal RNA is filed under the name uncultured bacterium. Its description in RNAcentral is "bacterial SSU rRNA". It matches the Rfam family "Bacterial small subunit ribosomal RNA", at positions 28 to 411 of the family's 1533-position model. The record is from RNAcentral.
GACGAACGCUGGCGGCGUGCUUAACACAUGCAAGUCGAGCGGUAAGGCCCUUUCGGGGGUACACGAGCGGCGAACGGGUGAGUAACACGUGGGUGACCUGCCCUCAGCUCUGGGAUAAGCCUGGGAAACCGGGUCCAAUACCGGAUAUGACUCCAUGACGCAUGUUGUGGGGUGGAAAGCCUUGUGCGGCUGAGGAUGGGCCCGCGGCCUAUCAGCUUGUUGGUGGGGUGANGGCCUACCAAGGCGACGACGGGUAGCCGGCCUGAGAGGGCGACCGGCCACACUGGGACUGAGGCACGGCCCAGACUCCUACGGGAGGCAGCAGUGGGGAAUCUUGCGCAAUGGGCGAAAGCCUGACGCAGCGACGCCGCGUGAGGGAUGA